Molecule: transfer RNA, 73 nt
Filed under: Felis catus (domestic cat)
Lineage: Eukaryota; Metazoa; Chordata; Mammalia; Carnivora; Felidae
Rfam family: tRNA
About the family: Transfer RNA (tRNA) molecules are approximately 80 nucleotides in length. Their secondary structure includes four short double-helical elements and three loops (D, anti-codon, and T loops).
Source: Rfam by way of RNAcentral
AUCUGGCUGGCUCAGUUGGUGGAACAUGUGACUCUUGAUCUCAGAGUUGUGGGUUUGAGCCCCACACUGGAUG